CGAACGCUGGCGGCGUGCCUAACACAUGCAAGUCGAACGCUGAUUACGGUUGUCGCAAGACAGUCGUGAAAGGCGUGGCGCACGGGUGAGUAACACGUGGGCAAUCUGCCCUCGAGUGGGGGACAACCCCGGGAAACUGGGGCUAAUACCGCGUAACGUUGCGAGGACUUCGGUCCUUGCAACCAAAGUCCCGCAAGGCACGCUUGAGGAGGAGCCCGCGGCCGAUUAGCUAGUUGGUGAGGUAACGGCUCACCAAGGCAAUGAUCGGUAACCGGCCUGAGAGGGCGGUCGGUCACACUGGAACUGAGACACGGUCCAGACUCCUACGGGAGGCAGCAGUGGGGAAUAUUGCGCAAUGGGCCGAAAGCCUGACGCACCGACCCCGCGGGGAGGAUGAACCCCUUCGGGGUGUAAACUCCUUUCGACCCCGGACGAAACGUCCCCGAGCAAUCGGGACCUGGACGGUACGGGUAUAAAAAGGCCCCGGCUUAACUACCUGCCAGCAGCCGCGGUAAGACGUAGGGGGCAAGGCGUUGCUCGGAAUUACUGGGGCGUAAAGGGUCCGUAGGCGGUGCGUAAGCCCGUGGUGAAAUCUCUCGGUUUAACUGAGAGGCUGCCAUGGAACUGCCGUGGUUCGAGUGCAGGAGAGGGGGAGUGGAAUUCCCCGGGGUAGCGGUGAAAUGCGUAGAUAAUCGGGAAGGAACCACCUGUGGCGAAGGCCGGCUCCACUGGACUGCAACUGACGCUGAGGGACGAAAGCUAGGGGAGCAAACAGGAUUAGAUGCCCUGGUAGUCCCUAGCCUUAAACGAUUGGAACUUGUGUGCCUCGUGUCCUGCGGGGUGUGGCGGAGCUAACGCGAUUAAGUUCCACGCCUGGGGAGUACGGUCGCAAGGCUGAAACUCAAAAGGAAUUGACGGGGGCCCGCACAAGCGGUGGAGCAUGUGGUUCAAUUCGACGCAACGCGAAGAACCUUACCUGGGCUCGAAGUCCCGAUGACAACUCACGAAAGUGGGUCUCUCCGCAAGGGGCAUCGGGAGAGGGUGCUGCAUGGCUGUCGUCAGCUCGUGCCGUGAGGUGUUGGGUUAAGUCCCGCAACGAGCGCAACCCUUGUUCCUAGUUGCUACGUCCCGACUUGUCGGGACAGCACUCUAGGAAGACUGCCGGUGAUAAACCGGAGGAAGGUGGGGAUGACGUCAAGUCAGCAUGGCCUUUAUGUCCAGGGCUACACACGUGCUACAAUGCGCGCCACAGUGCGUUGCAAACGCGCGAGGGGGAGCUAAUCGCAAAAAAGCGCGCUCAGUUCGGAUUGCAGUCUGCAACUCGACUGCAUGAAGCUGGAAUCGCUAGUAAUGGCGCAUCAGCACGGCGCCGUGAAUACGUUCCCGGGCCUUGUA
Molecule: ribosomal RNA, 1395 nt
Filed under: uncultured bacterium
Lineage: Bacteria
Description: 16S ribosomal RNA
Rfam family: Bacterial small subunit ribosomal RNA
Source: RNAcentral